UUUACCGCCUUGGAUGUCUGCUUGACAACAUUUGAAAGCACUAUAAUGAGUAGUGGCUGCCUUUGGAGGCGUGCAGCAUGGUAGGUUACGGCUCGGUGCCGCAGUGCCGGACGUACGCAACGGAGCCCGGUGUCAGCCUCAUUCACACGUAGCCGCAGGAGAAGGAGCUGCGUUAAGCUUGGCUGGCGAAACUUAGAACCGGCAGACAGCCAUCGGCUACAAGUCGGGUGUGCAGCAAGCACAGACGCGACGAAGAUUUCUGCUACGGCGCCGGGCUGCGCGAUGUUCGAUUCUUCGGUCGUCCAAGGCCCCACGCCGUUACUGCGACGGUUGUGCCUCUCUGAGCAACGAAGAGGUCUGCUGAUCCCGGAUCCGCAGAAGUCGCUCUUCCGUCCGUAGUUUCUUUCGAUCUUGCGAACCUCGUGUCUCCCGGAGCCACCUACACAGGUCCGCCGAUCCCAGAUCGUGAGGACUGCCUUCUUGAUCCCACCGCUGCCAACCAGCUUGUUGCGGCUAGGGUGGUUCUCAGGGCAUGGAAUCAACCAAGCCCAUCGACUACGACGUCAAGUUGUAGAAAAUGAAGGAAAAAUGUGUUUAUUAGCUUAGUUACACGGCUCCAGUACGGAAGCCCACUCCAUGCAGGAGCAAGAUGAAUGUCUCAGUUCACAUCAGGACCCUCUGUCCUCACUUUCAAAAAGUCUCUGCUUUUAUUCGUGUCGUCUUCCCUAGGCGAGUCGACUAGGGAAUCUGAAGACUGUCCAGCAGCAAACCACCAUCGUGGACUCAGUUGCGAUACCACACCCAUGCUCGCAAUAACCCGCAGUAACUCCGCCACGAAGAAACUGGUUUGGGAUCUGUGGAAAGAAAUGAACCGGCAACACCACAACAUCCAUCCAUGAAUGCAUGGAUGUUAUGAGCGUUCCCUUUGGAACAGGGCGGUGGAUUGCACCACCAAGCUUUUAUUUUAUUGCCUAAUGUCCUACCUAUUUUAAAAAAAGGAAAAAAAACACGAUGAAUUCCCAUAACCAAAGUUUCUGAACCUCUAUUGUGAACGUUCUUUUUGUACGCCUCCGUUGUUUGUCAGUUCCCUAUUUUCUUCCACCAAUCUUCCAAUCGCCUAACCCAAGGGCUUCAAGGAGGCCAGUGAUUCAUAAAUUGACCGUUGGUAAGAUACCUUCACAUUCUAAUAAAACAUGCUCCAUCGUUUCCCUAGCUUUACCGCGACAAGCACAUGCUUCUUCUUCCUUCUUAUAUCUCGCUUUAUAAGUGCGUGUUCUAAGGCAUCCUGACCUCGCUUUGAAAAUGCCGCCGUGAAUGUGAGCGCCAUCUGGUAGUGGUGCAACGAACCCAGCAGCGCGCAUGCUCUGCUGUGACUGGUUGGCCUAUUCGGCAAGAGAACAGCCAGGUUGCAGCCCCCAUGGUCACAAAACCCGGCGAGGCUCGCAAAGAAAAGCUUCGCUGUUAAAACUCGGUAUACCCAACACAGUAUGUGAAAGAAAGGGCCAUUCUCGAGCCUAGCACACACCCUCAAGGUAGUUGGGGCUUUAUGAUUUCAACAGCAGUACACCUAUUAUUCUCAGAACUCUCUUUUUGGCAAGCUCAUGCCAUGCCCUGGUGAUAUAAUGGCAGACACAGCUGCUCACAUGUGUCAAAUGCUGUAGGCAAUUCUGCCUUCAUGUUUGGGUUCAUGAUCUGAGCGCAGUACAUAUCAGAAUGACUUGCUGGUGUAGUGCAAGUCCUGAGGAUUGGUUUAUUGCACGGUGUGGCUCCACUUUUCUUCAACAGCAACAUAGUACCCUAGGAAGCAAUUAGUCACUUCACAGCACUUUCCCUCAUCUACAAUGCCAUGUAUGUAGUCGAUGUUUGUGCAACGAUUGUCGCAGAUACGUCAUUUGAUCAACUUUUCAGCGCCUGCAGGCAUGCAAGAUGGUAGACAUCAUGAGAGUGGACUGAGCUUCUUGUUUUUUAAUUAUCAAAAGUAGUUCAUUUUAAUUUUUCUUUUGGAAGACAAACUUGAUUAUCAGGUUAUGCGAGGACUUCCCCAACAAGUCUUCAGCCUCAUUUUUUCCAUGAUUGUCAUUACGGCAAAGUCAUGUGAUCACAAUGGUUAGGCCCGAAAUUCUGAGAUUUUAAAAAUAAAUUUGAAUUGCCCUUUUUUUUGCUGGUGAAUGUUUUUCAGACUUGAUUGAAUUAAUCCACAAAUUCAGAUCCCUGGUUAUAAGCCACUCGUACUGCAGAUUGUAUUUAUUAACUAUCCACAGCAUUAGUGGGUGCAGACUGCCAAAGCUAAUUUUAUAGAACUCCUGCUGCAAACUUUCCUAGCCUUCUGGAUUUUAGCCUGGUAGUGGUAGUGCGAUAUGCAAAAUACCUUUCAUGGUUUUGCACUACAUACAGUCGCCGACCGUUUAUUCGGACCUCACGGGGACUGCGGAAAUGUCCGAAUAAACAGGUGUCCGAAAAAGCAGAUUAAGAAGAAAAAAAAAAAUGAAAUCCUUUAUUUCCACGCACUUAUUCGGGCUCGGCAGUAGGCUUAAGGAAAUCGUGAAUGCGCCGUUGCACGCUGUUUCGUUUACGCGCAAUCAGAUAAGCUUCAGAUGCUUGUACACGAUCCGCAUGCGACGGCAGCGUAGCACAUGGUGCGUCAACUUCCGACUCGGUCAUCGUCCGGCGGGGCAGCAGAAACCUGACGAAUGAUCUCGCCGUCGUCGAGUUCUGCGCAUGUCAGUACAGCAGUGUCACCACCUGUGAAACUGUCAAUGAGACCGUGUCCGGAAUCGCAAUGCAACCACUGCGCAAGUCUCGGCAGAACAUUUUCCGCGUCGGUAGGGAGCACAUCGGAAGGCGGCAAAUCUUAGAGGCCUCCCGGCACCCGCUUGCCGGCAUUCCGCAGCGCAGUCUGCGCGGGCACUGUCGACGCGAUGUUUCCGUAUGCCGCGUUGGAUCGCCGAAACCUCGACACAGCACACAAAGCAAACACCGCCGUGCCGACACCAGUCACAGAAAUGAAAAAACGCGGCCUGCUCGCAGCGUCGUGCGCGAAGAAACAAAUUAGCUGCUGGAUUGUCUUGACAUGGCUCACUAAGCUGAAACCGGAACUGCUGCAGAGCCACUCUAUCGAACCAGGCAGAAACGAUGAUGAUGAGCGGGGAUUUCCAGUAGCGCCACUUCGUGGGGCAGCAAAGAAGCUCCGUUCAAAACAAAAAUGGCGUUCAGCAAGUCGAACCGUGCACCGGUCAGAGUCGGUGCACGGUGCUCUCGACCGAGUUGGCUCAAGGAGAGUCCGAAAAAUCAGACGAGAGGUUGCAAGGUGUCCGAACUUUCGGCAGUUGUUAUACAUUAUGGUCUAUGGGGAGAAUGGCGGUGCCGCGAAAGCUGACCGAAUAAUCGGGCAUGUCCGAAUUUUUGGAGUCCGGAAAAUCGGUCGGCGACUGUACACUGUCUUCUUCGGCUCACAGCUGGUUGCUGGCUGACUCCAUUUCUGUUACAUCUUAAAGCUACCUGGGUUUCAUGGAAGAAUCAAUGUGAUGGCAGUGUUCUGCUAUUACGCAUUGUCUCCAGGCAAAGCCUUUCAUGAUGAGUAAACAUGUGACAGAAGAAAAGAGCACACAGUCAAGCGUAAUACAAUAUGCUCUUCAUUGCACAGAUGAGAUUGGCCCUCCAAGAGAUAUGCCAGUGAAAUAAGAUAUGCUGGCAGACUUGCAAAACCCUGGGGAAAUAAACUGAAUACACGCUGCCCUUAUUAACCGACCACUGUGUCACAUGCUAAUGUUAUAGUGAGCGGCUAUCUCCUGGUCAGACAUGGUCAAAAAAGAUUUCAGCCUGUUCAUGUAAAAAGCUUCUUGGUAUGUUCAAACAAUGCAAUAGUUUAUAUAUAUAUAUAUAUAUAUAUAUAUAUAUA
Dermacentor andersoni is the source of this 3898-nucleotide long non-coding RNA. RefSeq lists it as uncharacterized. The record is from RefSeq and is a predicted model, not a curated record. NCBI's taxonomy places the organism in Eukaryota, Metazoa, Arthropoda, Arachnida, Ixodida, Ixodidae.